UCAGUUAAUGUCAGCAUCCCAUCCACAAGAUACAAUACAGAGUCUCUAUGCCCUGUGGAAAUUGGGAGAAUGCAUUCUUUCAUCAGUCUUCACAAAGUGCUCACAACUGGGAAAAAACAAAGAACAGAAAUAGUCACUGACUUUGGAACAGAGAUGAGGAAAUAAGAGGGACAUUAACUGCCAUCAAAGAAGCAGGACUUUUGUCAUCUCUGGAAAUAUUCUUUCACAUUUUACCAAGAUGAUUUCAGGAAAUGUCCAACAGUAGUAGUAACACGAAGGAACAGCUCUGUAAGUUCACUUUGCAAGACUAUGUGAACUGUCUUGGUUUCUUUCAAAUGCCUGUACAUCAUAUACCUGCUGGCAAUAAAGCUGUAAAUUAACAAGG
Corvus hawaiiensis (hawaiian crow) is the source of this 385-nucleotide long non-coding RNA. RefSeq lists it as uncharacterized. The record is from RefSeq and is a predicted model, not a curated record. The transcript has 3 exons. NCBI's taxonomy places the organism in Eukaryota, Metazoa, Chordata, Aves, Passeriformes, Corvidae.